UACAGAGGGGGCAAGCGUUGUUCGGAAUUACUGGGCGUAAAGGGCGCGUAGGCGGCCUUCUAAGUCGAACGUGAAAUCCCCGGGCUCAACCCGGGAACUGCGUCCGAUACUGGAAGGCUUGAAUCCGGGAGAGGGAUGCGGAAUUCCAGGUGUAGCGGUGAAAUGCGUAGAUAUCUGGAGGAACACCGGUGGCGAAGGCGGCAUCCUGGACCAACACUGACGCUGAGUGAGCGAAAGCCAGGGGAGCAAACGGG
RNAcentral lists this ribosomal RNA (254 nucleotides) under uncultured bacterium. RNAcentral's name for it is "partial 16S ribosomal RNA". It matches the Rfam family "Bacterial small subunit ribosomal RNA", at positions 524 to 776 of the family's 1533-position model. The record is from RNAcentral.